GGGGAGAUAGCUCAGUGGUAAAGCACUUGCCUAGCAUGCAUGUGAGUCUGGGUUAGAUCCCCAUCACCACA
Molecule: transfer RNA, 71 nt
Filed under: Ictidomys tridecemlineatus (thirteen-lined ground squirrel)
Lineage: Eukaryota; Metazoa; Chordata; Mammalia; Rodentia; Sciuridae
Also listed under: 1 other name
Description: Spermophilus tridecemlineatus (thirteen-lined ground squirrel) tRNA
Rfam family: tRNA
About the family: Transfer RNA (tRNA) molecules are approximately 80 nucleotides in length.
Source: Rfam by way of RNAcentral